GCUCUGGUGACAAAAUGGUUAAAGUGCUCAGUUGCUAACUGAAAGGUCAUGGGUUCGAACCCACCAGCUGCU
This 72-nucleotide transfer RNA is filed under the name Loxodonta africana (African savanna elephant). It matches the Rfam family "tRNA". Rfam says of the family: Transfer RNA (tRNA) molecules are approximately 80 nucleotides in length. Their secondary structure includes four short double-helical elements and three loops (D, anti-codon, and T loops). Lineage: Eukaryota; Metazoa; Chordata; Mammalia; Proboscidea; Elephantidae. The record is from Rfam by way of RNAcentral.